GUGGACGUAGCUCAAUGGUUAGAGCUCUGGCCUGUGGAACCAGAGGUUGCGGGUUCAAGUCCCGUCGUCCACCCA
Molecule: transfer RNA, 75 nt
Filed under: Chloroflexota bacterium
Lineage: Bacteria; Bacillati; Chloroflexota
Description: Chloroflexi bacterium tRNA-His
Rfam family: tRNA
About the family: Transfer RNA (tRNA) molecules are approximately 80 nucleotides in length. Their secondary structure includes four short double-helical elements and three loops (D, anti-codon, and T loops). Further hydrogen bonds mediate the characteristic L-shaped molecular structure. tRNAs have two regions of fundamental functional importance: the anti-codon, which is responsible for specific mRNA codon recognition, and the 3' end, to which the tRNAs corresponding amino acid is attached (by aminoacyl-tRNA synthetases). tRNAs cope with the degeneracy of the genetic code in two manners: having more than one tRNA (with a specific anti-codon) for a particular amino acid; and 'wobble' base-pairing, i.e. permitting non-standard base-pairing at the 3rd anti-codon position.
Source: RNAcentral